CCUACGGGCGGCAGCAGUGAGGAAUAUUGGUCAAUGGGCGAGAGUCUGAACCAGCCAAGUAGCGUGAAGGAUGACUGCCCUAUGGGUUGUAAACUUCUUUUAUCUGGGAAUAAAAUGUUCCACGUGUGGGAUUUUGUAUGUACCCUAUGAAUAAGGAUCGGCUAACUCCGUUCCAGCAACCGCGGUAAUACGGAGGAUCCGAGCGUUAUCCGGAUUUAUUGGGUUUAAAGGGAGCGUAGGUGGAUUGUUAAGUCAGUUGUUAAAGUUUUCGGCUCAACCGUAAAAUUGCAGUUGAAACUGGCAGUCUUGAGUACAGUAGAGGUGGGCGGAAUGCGUGGUGUAGCGGUGAAAUGCGUAGAUAUAAGGAAGAACACCAGUGGCGAAGGCGGAUGACUGGACGGCAACUGACGGUGAGGCGCGAAAGCGUGGGGAGCAAACAGGAUUAGAUACCCCUGUAGUC
This 460-nucleotide ribosomal RNA is filed under the name uncultured bacterium. RNAcentral describes it as "partial 16S ribosomal RNA". It matches the Rfam family "Bacterial small subunit ribosomal RNA", at positions 338 to 795 of the family's 1533-position model. The record is from RNAcentral.